GAUGAACGCUAGCUACAGGCUUAACACAUGCAAGUCGAGGGGAAACGACAUCGAAAGCUUGCUUUUGAUGGGCGUCGACCGGCGCACGGGUGAGUAACGCGUAUCCAACCUGCCCAUCACUUGGGAAUAACCUUGCGAAAGUAAGACUAAUACCCAAUGAUAUCCCACGAAGGCAUCGGAAUGGGAUUAAAGAUUUAUCGGUGAUGGAUGGGGAUGCGUCUGAUUAGCUUGUUGGCGGGGUAACGGCCCACCAAGGCGACGAUCAGUAGGGGUUCUGAGAGGAAGGUCCCCCACAUUGGAACUGAGACACGGUCCAAACUCCUACGGGAGGCAGCAGUGAGGAAUAUUGGUCAAUGGGCGAGAGCCUGAACCAGCCAAGUAGCGUGCAGGAAGACGGCCCUAUGGGUUGUAAACUGCUUUUAUAAGGGAAUAAAGUGGGUCACGUGUGACUUUUUGCAUGUACCUUAUGAAUAAGGACCGGCUAAUUCCGUG
This 492-nucleotide ribosomal RNA is filed under the name uncultured bacterium. RNAcentral describes it as "partial 16S ribosomal RNA". It matches the Rfam family "Bacterial small subunit ribosomal RNA", at positions 28 to 507 of the family's 1533-position model. The record is from RNAcentral.